This 514-nucleotide ribosomal RNA is filed under the name uncultured bacterium. RNAcentral's name for it is "bacterial SSU rRNA". It matches the Rfam family "Bacterial small subunit ribosomal RNA", at positions 1 to 508 of the family's 1533-position model. The record is from RNAcentral.
CGUACGAUACGAGUUUGAUCUGGCUCAGAGCGAACGUUUACGGCGGGCCUAACACAUGCAAGUCGAACGAUAACCCAGCUUGCUGGGGGAAAGUGGCGCACGGGUGCGUAACACGUGGGUAAUCAACCCUUUGGAUCGGGACAACCCGGGGAAACUCGGGCUAAUACCGGAUAAGUCGUGGGAGUCUUCGGGCACCCACGGGAAAGGCCCGCAAGGGCUACCAUUGGACGAGCUCGCGGCCCAUCAGCUUGUUGGUGAGGUAAUGACUCACCAAGGCUAAGACGGGUAGCUGGUCUGAGAGGAUGAUCAGCCACACUGGAACUGAGACACGGUCCAGACUCCUACGGGAGGCAGCAGUGGGGAAUAUUGCGCAAUGGGCGAAAGCCUGACGCAGCCACGCCGCGUGUGCGAUGAAGGUCUUCGGAUCGUAAAGCACUGUGGGGGGAGAAGAACAAAGCCGGUGAAGAGCCGGCCCUGACGGUAUCCCCUUAGCAAGCACCGGCUAACUCCGUGC